CCUGCCCAGUGAAUCUUUGUAUUUUAACGGCCGCAGUACUUUGACUGUGCUAAGGUAGCAAAAUCAAUAGGCCUUUAAUUGGGGUCGAGUAUGAAUGGCUUAUAUGGACUUAGACUGUCUCUAUUAUUACUUUAUAAUUUGCUUACUAGGUGAAAAUACCUACGGAUAAACAUUAGACGAGAAGACCCUUAGAGUUUUAAUUAAAAUAUAAUACGCACUAUUAUAAUUAUUUUUGUUGGGGCGACAACUUAUCCAAAAUUAACGUAAUUUCACAUAAACAAGACUCAACUUAAAUGAAAAAAGAAUAUAACUACCUGAGGGAUAACAGCAUAAUUUUAUUAAAGUUUGUGACCUCGAUGUUGGACUAGGGACUUCUUAGGGUAGCCCUCU
Molecule: ribosomal RNA, 390 nt
Filed under: Arion occultus
Lineage: Eukaryota; Metazoa; Mollusca; Gastropoda; Stylommatophora; Arionidae
Description: partial 16S ribosomal RNA
Rfam family: Bacterial large subunit ribosomal RNA
Source: RNAcentral